RNAcentral lists this unclassified non-coding RNA (375 nucleotides) under soil metagenome. RNAcentral's name for it is "partial contains 5.8S ribosomal RNA, internal transcribed spacer 2, and large subunit ribosomal RNA". The stretch from base 1 to 120 matches the Rfam family "5.8S ribosomal RNA", at positions 35 to 154 of the family's 154-position model. The record is from RNAcentral.
GAUGAAGAACGCAGCGAAAUGCGAUAAGUAAUGUGAAUUGCAGAAUUCAGUGAAUCAUCGAAUCUUUGAACGCACAUUGCGCCCGCCAGUAUUCUGGCGGGCAUGCCUGUUCGAGCGUCAUUUCAACCCUCAAGCCCCAGCGGUUUGGUGUUGGGGACCGGCGAGUACAGAGGCUUUGGGGACUUGUCCCCCUUCCCUCGGCGCCGCCCCCGAAAUGAAUUGGCGGUCUCGUCGCGGCCUCCUCUGCGUAGUAGCACAACCUCGCAUCAGGAGCGCGGCGCGGCCACUGCCGUAAAACGCCCAACUUUUUUUAAGAGUUGACCUCGAAUCAGGUAGGAAUACCCGCUGAACUUAAGCAUAUCAAUAAGCGGAGGA